RNAcentral lists this long non-coding RNA (558 nucleotides) under Brassica napus (rape). RNAcentral's name for it is "long non-coding RNA (BNAP_LNC008544)". The record is from RNAcentral. Lineage: Eukaryota; Viridiplantae; Streptophyta; Magnoliopsida; Brassicales; Brassicaceae.
UCUCCUCUAUUGGACGGACAUUGGGCAUUAUGGGACAUCGACAAUAGGAAGGCUGAAGACAUGUGUAACCGGUGCUUCUGGAUAAAAGAGGUUGGUCUUUUUCUACCUGACUUCAAGGCAUCCACCGGUCAUCCAAACUUUAAAACGUGGCGUUAAGACUUGUUGGAUGGUGGUAAUCUUCGUGCACACUACUUUAUCCUACGUACACCGUUGUUAAAUUGUUGCACACCAACUAAUAUUUCUAAUCUUUCGAAGAGAAUACUAUUAUGUCAAUUGAAACGUAGGAUACUAUUAUGUCAAUUGAAACGUUGGAUACUAAUACGUCAAUAAAAAAUCUUGCACACCAUAUAUAAAAGUUGCACACCAUAUGUCAGCCGGAAUAGAUAAUACAAAAUAAAUGCAACAAGAUAUUAUAUUAAAGUUUUUCAAUAAUUUCCUUGAGUAAUGCAAUCUCCUCAGCGUUUUUCUUCAAGACUUUCUCCAUCUCGUGGAUCUGAUAACCAAGGUGUGCAAUCUCACCGUCGUUUUUUGGGCAUCUUGGUCAAUUCGAUCGAUCCG